UAAGCGACUAAGCGUACACGGUGGAUGCCUUGGCAGUCAGAGGCGAUGAAGGACGUGCUAAUCUGCGAUAAGCGUCGGUAAGGUGAUAUGAACCGUUAUAACCGGCGAUUUCCGAAUGGGGAAACCCAGUGUGAUUCGUCACACUAUCAUUAACUGAAUCCAUAGGUUAAUGAGGCGAACCGGGGGAACUGAAACAUCUAAGUACCCCGAGGAAAAGAAAUCAACCGAGAUUCCCCCAGUAGCGGCGAGCGAACGGGGAGCAGCCCAGAGCCUGAAUCAGUGUGUGUGUUAGUGGAAGCGUCUGGAAAGGCGUGCGAUACAGGGUGACAGCCCCGUACACAAAAAUGCACAUACUGUGAGCUCGAUGAGUAGGGCGGGACACGUGGUAUCCUGUCUGAAUAUGGGGGGACCAUCCUCCAAGGCUAAAUACUCCUGACUGACCGAUAGUGAACCAGUACCGUGAGGGAAAGGCGAAAAGAACCCCGGCGAGGGGAGUGAAAAAGAACCUGAAACCGUGUACGUACAAGCAGUGGGAGCACGCUUAGGCGUGUGACUGCGUACCUUUUGUAUAAUAGGUCAGCGACUUAUAUUCUGUAGCAAGGUUAACCGAAUAGGGGAGCCGAAAGGAAACCGAGUCUUAACUGGGCGUUAAGUUGCAGGGUAUAGACCCGAAACCCGGUGAUCUAGCCAUGGGCAGGUUGAAGGUUGGGUAACACUAACUGGAGGACCGAACCGACUAAUGUUGAAAAAUUAGCGGAUGACUUGUGGCUGGGGGUGAAAGGCCAAUCAAACCGGGAGAUAGCUGGUUCUCCCCGAAAGCUAUUUAGGUAGCGCCUCGUGAAUUCAUCUCCGGGGGUAGAGCACUGUUUCGGCAAGGGGGUCAUCCCGACUUACCAACCCGAUGCAAACUGCGAAUACCGGAGAAUGUUAUCACGGGAGACACACGGCGGGUGCUAACGUCCGUCGUGAAGAGGGAAACAACCCAGACCGCCAGCUAAGGUCCCAAAGUCAUGGUUAAGUGGGAAACGAUGUGGGAAGGCCCAGACAGCCAGGAUGUUGGCUUAGAAGCAGCCAUCAUUUAAAGAAAGCGUAAUAGCUCACUGGUCGAGUCGGCCUGCGCGGAAGAUGUAACGGGGCUAAACCAUGCACCGAAGCUGCGGCAGCGACGCUUAUGCGUUGUUGGGUAGGGGAGCGUUCUGUAAGCCUGUGAAGGUGUACUGUGAGGUAUGCUGGAGGUAUCAGAAGUGCGAAUGCUGACAUAAGUAACGAUAAAGCGGGUGAAAAGCCCGCUCGCCGGAAGACCAAGGGUUCCUGUCCAACGUUAAUCGGGGCAGGGUGAGUCGACCCCUAAGGCGAGGCCGAAAGGCGUAGUCGAUGGGAAACAGGUUAAUAUUCCUGUACUUGGUGUUACUGCGAAGGGGGGACGGAGAAGGCUAUGUUGGCCGGGCGACGGUUGUCCCGGUUUAAGCGUGUAGGCUGGUUUUCCAGGCAAAUCCGGAAAAUCAAGGCCGAGGCGUGAUGACGAGGCACUACGGUGCUGAAGCAACAAAUGCCCUGCUUCCAGGAAAAGCCUCUAAGCAUCAGGUAACAUCAAAUCGUACCCCAAACCGACACAGGUGGUCAGGUAGAGAAUACCAAGGCGCUUGAGAGAACUCGGGUGAAGGAACUAGGCAAAAUGGUGCCGUAACUUCGGGAGAAGGCACGCUGAUACGUAGGUGAAGCGACUUGCUCGUGGAGCUGAAAUCAGUCGAAGAUACCAGCUGGCUGCAACUGUUUAUUAAAAACACAGCACUGUGCAAACACGAAAGUGGACGUAUACGGUGUGACGCCUGCCCGGUGCCGGAAGGUUAAUUGAUGGGGUUAGCGCAAGCGAAGCUCUUGAUCGAAGCCCCGGUAAACGGCGGCCGUAACUAUAACGGUCCUAAGGUAGCGAAAUUCCUUGUCGGGUAAGUUCCGACCUGCACGAAUGGCGUAAUGAUGGCCAGGCUGUCUCCACCCGAGACUCAGUGAAAUUGAACUCGCUGUGAAGAUGCAGUGUACCCGCGGCAAGACGGAAAGACCCCGUGAACCUUUACUAUAGCUUGACACUGAACAUUGAGCCUUGAUGUGUAGGAUAGGUGGGAGGCUUUGAAGUGUGGACGCCAGUCUGCAUGGAGCCGACCUUGAAAUACCACCCUUUAAUGUUUGAUGUUCUAACGUGGACCCGUAAUCCGGGUUGCGGACAGUGUCUGGUGGGUAGUUUGACUGGGGCGGUCUCCUCCUAAAGAGUAACGGAGGAGCACGAAGGUUGGCUAAUCCUGGUCGGACAUCAGGAGGUUAGUGCAAUGGCAUAAGCCAGCUUGACUGCGAGCGUGACGGCGCGAGCAGGUGCGAAAGCAGGUCAUAGUGAUCCGGUGGUUCUGAAUGGAAGGGCCAUCGCUCAACGGAUAAAAGGUACUCCGGGGAUAACAGGCUGAUACCGCCCAAGAGUUCAUAUCGACGGCGGUGUUUGGCACCUCGAUGUCGGCUCAUCACAUCCUGGGGCUGAAGUAGGUCCCAAGGGUAUGGCUGUUCGCCAUUUAAAGUGGUACGCGAGCUGGGUUUAGAACGUCGUGAGACAGUUCGGUCCCUAUCUGCCGUGGGCGCUGGAGAACUGAGGGGGCUGCUCCUAGUACGAGAGGACCGGAGGGACGCAUCACUGGUGUUCGGGUUGUCAUGCCAAUGGCACUGCCCGGUAGCUAAAUGCGGAAGAGAUAAGUGCUGAAAGCAUCUAAGCACGAAACUUGCCCCGAGAUGAGUUCUCCCUGACCCUUUAAGGGUCCUGAAGGAACGUUGAAGACGACGACGUUGAUAGGCCGGGUGUGUAAGCGCAGCGAUGCGUUGAGCUAACCGGUACUAAUGAACCGUGAGGCUUAACCU
Molecule: ribosomal RNA, 2898 nt
Filed under: Shigella flexneri K-1770
Lineage: Bacteria; Pseudomonadati; Pseudomonadota; Gammaproteobacteria; Enterobacterales; Enterobacteriaceae
Description: bacterial LSU rRNA
Rfam family: Bacterial large subunit ribosomal RNA
Source: RNAcentral